GACGAACGCUGGCGGCGUGCUUAACACAUGCAAGUCGAACGGGAAGUCCCUUCUUUUGUGGCGGGCUCGAGUGUCGAACGUGUGAGUAACACGUGAGUAGCGUGCCCUUGACUGUGGGAUAACGUCAGUAAACUGGGGGUAAUGCCGCAUAGGAGCUCCUGCUGCAGGGUGGGGGUUGGAAAGUUUCGGCGUUUGUGGUGGGACUCGUGGCUUAUCAGCUGGUUGGUGGGGUAGUGGCUGACCAAGGCUUUGACGGGUAGCAGGCCUGAGAGGGCGACCGGCACCAUUGCUGCGGAGGAAAGGCCGAGCCUACUCCUGGAGGCAGCAGUGGGGAAUAAUGUACAGUGGGCGGAGGCAUGAUGAAGGAGCGCCGCGUGCUGGAGGUAGGCCUCCGGGUUGUAGACAGCUUCCGCUUGUGACGAAGCGGGAGUGACGGUAAUGGGUAAAGAAGCACCGGCUAACUACGUG
RNAcentral lists this ribosomal RNA (468 nucleotides) under uncultured bacterium. RNAcentral describes it as "partial 16S ribosomal RNA". It matches the Rfam family "Bacterial small subunit ribosomal RNA", at positions 28 to 507 of the family's 1533-position model. The record is from RNAcentral.